GAUGAACGCUGGCGGCGUGCCUAAUACAUGCAAGUCGAGCGAACAGAUGAUGAGCUUGCUCCUCUGACGUUAGCGACGGACGGGUGAGUAACAAGUGCAUAACCUACCUAUAUGACUGGGAUAACAUCGGGAAACCGCAGCUACUACUACAUAAUAUAUUGUACCGCAUGGUUCAGUAGUGCAUGACGGUUUUCCUGUCACUUAUAGAUGGAUCCGCGUCGCAUUAGCUAGUUGGUAAGGUAACGGCCUACCAAGGCAACGAUGCGUAGCCGACCUGAGAGGGUGAUCAGCCACACUGGAACUGAGACACGGUCCAGACUCCUACGGGAGGCAGCAGUAGGGAAUCUUCGGCAAUGGGCGCAAGCCUGACGGAGCAACGCCGCGUGAGUGAUGAAGGUCUUCGGAUCGUAAAGCUCUGUUAUUAGGGAAGAAAAGAUGUGUAAUUAACUACGCACGUCUUGACGGUACCUAAACAGAAAGCCACGGCUAACUACGUG
RNAcentral lists this ribosomal RNA (497 nucleotides) under uncultured bacterium. RNAcentral describes it as "partial 16S ribosomal RNA". It matches the Rfam family "Bacterial small subunit ribosomal RNA", at positions 28 to 507 of the family's 1533-position model. The record is from RNAcentral.